CCCUUAGAUGUUCUGGGCCGCACGCGCGCCACACUGAUGCAUUCAACGAGCCUAUCCUUGACCGACAGGUCCGGGUAAUCUUUGAAUCUGCAUCGUGACGGGGAUAGAUUAUUGCAAUUAUUAAUCUUCAACGAGGAAUGCCUAGUAGGCGCAAGUCAUCAGCUUGCGUCGAUUACGUCCCUGCCCUUUGUACACACCGCCCGUCGCUCCUACCGAUUGGGUGUGCUGGUGAAAUGUUCGGAUCGGCCGUUUGUCGCGGUUUCCGCGGCUCGUGGCUGAGAAGUUCAUUAAACCCUCCCACCGAGAGGAAGGAGAAGUCGUAACA
This 325-nucleotide ribosomal RNA is filed under the name uncultured eukaryote. RNAcentral describes it as "partial 18S ribosomal RNA". It matches the Rfam family "Eukaryotic small subunit ribosomal RNA", at positions 1470 to 1796 of the family's 1831-position model. The record is from RNAcentral.